This 773-nucleotide ribosomal RNA is filed under the name uncultured bacterium. Its description in RNAcentral is "bacterial SSU rRNA". It matches the Rfam family "Bacterial small subunit ribosomal RNA", at positions 87 to 862 of the family's 1533-position model. The record is from RNAcentral.
GAUGGCGACCGGCGCACGGGUGAGUAACACGUAUCCAACCUGCCGAUGACUCGGGGAUAGCCUUUCGAAAGAAAGAUUAAUACCCGAUGGCAUAGUUCUUCCGCAUGGUAGAACUAUUAAGGAAUUUCGGUCAUCGAUGGGGAUGCGUUCCAUUAGGUUGUUGGCGGGGUAACGGCCCACCAAGCCUUCGAUGGAUAGGGGUUCUGAGAGGAAGGUCCCCCACAUUGGAACUGAGACACGGUCCAAACUCCUACGGGAGGCAGCAGUGAGGAAUAUUGGUCAAUGGACGAGAGUCUGAACCAGCCAAGUAGCGUGAAGGAUGACUGCCCUAUGGGUUGUAAACUUCUUUUAUACGGGAAUAAAGUGAGGCACGUGUGCCUUUUUGUAUGUACCGUAUGAAUAAGGAUCGGCUAACUCCGUGCCAGCAGCCGCGGUAAUACGGAGGAUCCGAGCGUUAUCCGGAUUUAUUGGGUUUAAAGGGAGCGUAGGCGGACGCUUAAGUCAGUUGUGAAAGUUUGCGGCUCAACCGUAAAAUUGCAGUUGAUACUGGGUGUCUUGAGUACAGUAGAGGCAGGCGGAAUUCGUGGUGUAGCGGUGAAAUGCUUAGAUAUCACGAAGAACUCCGAUUGCGAAGGCAGCUUGCUGGACUGUAACUGACGCUGAUGCUCGAAAGUGUGGGUAUCAAACAGGAUUAGAUACCCUGGUAGUCCACACAGUAAACGAUGAAUACUCGCUGUUUGCGAUAUACAGUAAGCGGCCAAGCGAAAGCGUUA